This 397-nucleotide ribosomal RNA is filed under the name uncultured bacterium. RNAcentral's name for it is "partial 16S ribosomal RNA". It matches the Rfam family "Bacterial small subunit ribosomal RNA", at positions 523 to 918 of the family's 1533-position model. The record is from RNAcentral.
AUACGUAGGUGGCAAGCGUUGUCCGGAAUUAUUGGGCGUAAAGCGCGCGCAGGCGGUCCUUUAAGUCUGAUGUGAAAGCCCACGGCUCAACCGUGGAGGGUCAUUGGAAACUGGGGGACUUGAGUGCAGAAGAGGAACGUGGAAUUCCAAGUGUAGCGGUGAAAUGCGUAGAGAUUUGGAGGAACACCAGUGGCGAAGGCGACUUUCUGGUCUGUAACUGACGCUGAGGCGCGAAAGCGUGGGGAGCAAACAGGAUUAGAUACCCUGGUAGUCCACGCCGUAAACGAUGAGUGCUAAGUGUUAGGGGGUUUCCGCCCCUUAGUGCUGCAGCUAACGCAUUAAGCACUCCGCCUGGGGAGUACGGUCGCAAGACUGAAACUCAAAUGAAUUGACGGGG